GACACAGUACUGAGGGCAGGUUCCACUCAGCCUGACCCCGCCUGGGCCCGCAGAGGCCUUCCCAUUGAUCGGCCCCGUCACGGUCAAUGCUCUCCACAGGCCUCGUACUGGGACCAUUCGUGGCUCUCUGCUUGCCUCUGUCUGGGGAAACAGGAAAGAAGUUGCCCACGGAGGGAGACCAGUGCCUGCCCCUGCUCCCUGCCGCCGCCAGCCCAGCCACACUGAGCAUGCUCCCAGCAAGAGCACCACUGUGGGAUCUACCAUAGCAACAGCUGAAUAACUGGAGAGAUGAACCGGUGGUCUACACUGUCGAUGUGGCGGACUUUGUGAUGGAAAAGCCUCAGAAGAAAAGUCCUUUUCUUUCUGAGACUAGAGUUGAGAAACAUGACUAGUAACCUCCGGCCAAGCAAUAUAUGUUGUA
Long non-coding RNA from Eptesicus fuscus (big brown bat), 421 nucleotides. RefSeq lists it as uncharacterized. Lineage: Eukaryota; Metazoa; Chordata; Mammalia; Chiroptera; Vespertilionidae. The record is from RefSeq and is a predicted model, not a curated record. The transcript is spliced from 3 exons.